RNAcentral lists this ribosomal RNA (117 nucleotides) under Priestia megaterium. Lineage: Bacteria; Bacillati; Bacillota; Bacilli; Caryophanales; Bacillaceae. The record is from RNAcentral.
UCUGGCAAUUAUGGCGAGAAGGUCACACCCGUUCCCAUACCGAACACGGAAGUUAAGCUUCUCAGCGCCAAUGGUAGUUGGGACAUGCGUCCCUGUGAGAGUAGGACGUUGCCAGGC